Molecule: ribosomal RNA, 944 nt
Filed under: uncultured bacterium
Lineage: Bacteria
Description: bacterial SSU rRNA
Rfam family: Bacterial small subunit ribosomal RNA
Source: RNAcentral
GAGUUUGAUCCUGGCUCAGAACGAACGCUGGCGGCGUGGAUAAGACAUGCAAGUCGAACGAUUGUCAUCGGGUAGCAAUAUUCGGUGGCGAGAGUGGCGCAAGGGUGCGUAACACGUGGGCAAUUUGCCGUGAAGUCUGGAAUAACUUGCUGAAAGGCGAGCUAAUACCGGAUGUGAUUGUUGGAGGGCAUCCUCUGACACUCAAAGUCGGGGACCGUAAGGCCUGACACUUCUCGAUAAGCCCGCGGCCUAUCAGCUAGUUGGUGAGGUAACGGCCCACCAAGGCUAAGACGGGUAGCUGGUCUGAGAGGACGACCAGCCACACUGGAACUGAGACACGGUCCAGACACCUACGGGUGGCAGCAGUCGAGAAUUUUUCACAAUGGGCGCAAGCCUGAUGGAGCGACGCCGCGUGGGGGAUGAAUGGCUUCGGCCCGUAAACCCCUGUCAUUUGCGAUCAAUGCUCACUUCCUAAUACGAAGUGAGUUGAUAGUAGCGAAAGAGGAAGGGACGGCUAACUCUGUGCCAGCAGCCGCGGUAAUACAGAGGUCCCAAGCGUUGUUCGGAUUCACUGGGCGUAAAGGGUGCGUAGGCGGUCAGAUAAGUCUGACGUGAAAUACUGGAGCUUAACUCCGGAACGGCGUCAGAAACUAUUUGGCUAGAGGAUUGGAGGGGGGACUGGAAUUCUCGGUGUAGCAGUGAAAUGCGUAGAUAUCGAGAGGAACACCCGUGGCGAAGGCGAGUCCCUGGACAAUUCCUGACGCUGAGGCACGAAAGCUAGGGGAGCAAACAGGAUUAGAUACCCUGGUAGUCCUAGCCUUAAACGGUGCACGUUUGCUGUGAGAGGAAUCGACCCCUCUCGUGGCGAAGCUAACGCGAUAAACGUGCCGCCUGGGAAGUACGGCCGCAAGGUUAAAACUCAAAGAAAUUGACGGGGGCCUGCA